UGCUGUGCCAGGCACAGGCAAGGCCAGGCCAGGCAGGGGUGAUCUCCUUUUGCAGGGUCUCCUGGGCUGCUUGGAGCUCUGGGACAGGACUUUUCAGAGCACAGACUUUUCACACCACUCCUUAGGACUACUCUGGGCAAUCGUGGGACCCAGCAAUCCGCUUCUUUCUGAGUCCUCCUAACCCAGGGACAGCAAUCCCCGUGGCUAUAACUUACAGAGGGUGGUGGUCCUGCCUUCUAAUUCCUGUGUUUUCAUCUUACAACAGAAAAAAAGAAUGGAAGCUCUCUGCUGCAUCCUCCCUUGGCCAUUCAGAAUUUGCUCUGGUUCCACCACAUCAUUUCUCACCUCACCUGAGGGAUGGUGCCUUGCUGGGAAAAAAAACCUUUUUCACCUUUGCUGAUGGUUCUGCUGACAAGGUCCUGCACCAAACUCUCCGUGAGCUGCUGCCAAGUCAGGCUUUGGUCUGGGAGAAGAGAACCAAGAACAGCACUGGGCUCCUUGCUCCAGCCCCACGAGCGUGGAGAGCCCAUCCAGCAGCACACACAGCCCUGGGCCAGUGCCCCCAGAGCAGGGAGCUUGAACACCACUGAGGCAGCACUGGAGGGACGUCCAACACCCACUGCCAAUUCCCAAGGGAAUCCAAGGGAUCCGGGAGCUGUUGGCCCUUUGCAGAUUAAUCCCACCUCCUGCCUUUCCUGGCAGAUGGAAAAGUGACCACAGCCACCCCCAGAAGUGGUGUCAGAGCAGCUGCUGGGAUCCCUCACAGCCAGGAUCCACUCUGGCAACACUUCAGGAGAAAGAGAACAACUCCCAGGCUCAGAGGCAGCUGUGACACCACUGAGAAUCCUGAGAUCACCCAACUGCUGAAC
Non-coding RNA from Taeniopygia guttata (zebra finch), 869 nucleotides. Lineage: Eukaryota; Metazoa; Chordata; Aves; Passeriformes; Estrildidae. The record is from RefSeq and is a predicted model, not a curated record.